AUGAAGGAGAGGAAAAAGGGAAAAGAUGCUACAGUUUUCCUUGCAGCUCAAUUUUCACACCCUUCCCAGGAGAAUAGAGAAAAUUUUAGGGGUUCCUCUACUGCUACACAUCCACCUCCACAACCACCACCUCAACACCAAACUUCACAGAUGCCAGCAUCAUCUGCUCCACCUCCUAAAGCAAUGAGGAACAGAAAAACAGCAGCAAAUAAGAGAGGUUCAACAUCAACAGUUUCAGCAGGAGCAGCCAGGUCUUCACCAGCACCUGCAACAGGAUCUGCAUCAACAAGAGCUCCAAGAACAAGAGAAUCAGCAUCUACAAGAACAUUCAAUGCACCAAGAACAUCCACUGGAGAACCAGGGAUAUUGGCAGGCAAGAGGAAGAGGAAACCUCCUAGCAAGUUUGCAUCCUAUUUCAAUGCUAGUGGAAACUAUUGA
RNAcentral lists this ribosomal RNA (438 nucleotides) under Triticum aestivum (bread wheat). RNAcentral's name for it is "partial small subunit ribosomal RNA". The record is from RNAcentral. Lineage: Eukaryota; Viridiplantae; Streptophyta; Magnoliopsida; Poales; Poaceae.